This 253-nucleotide ribosomal RNA is filed under the name uncultured bacterium. RNAcentral describes it as "partial 16S ribosomal RNA". It matches the Rfam family "Bacterial small subunit ribosomal RNA", at positions 524 to 776 of the family's 1533-position model. The record is from RNAcentral.
UACGUAGGGCGCGAGCGUUGUCCGGAUUUACUGGGCGUAAAGAGCGCGCAGGCGGUCGUUCAAGUCGCGUGUGAAAGCCCCCGGCUCAACUGGGGAGGGUCACGCGAUACUGAUCGACUCGAAGGCAGGAGAGGGUAGUGGAAUUCCCGGUGUAGUGGUGAAAUGCGUAGAUAUCGGGAGGAACACCAGUGGCGAAGGCGACUACCUGGCCUGUUCUUGACGCUGAGGCGCGAAAGCUAGGGGAGCAAACAGG